AUGUUAAGCCUCUCCCGGACGCGCCCUCCCGGCUCCCCGUCCCCGAAAGCCGCACCCCGGGGCCCCAAGGAGCCGCGCUACCGGCCCGCACCCCGCGCUCCCGGCCCCGGGCCUCAGGCUGCGGCAUCUCCAGCCCCCAGCCGCCGCCGGGACCGCGCGCCCGCGCCGCGGUCUGGUUCCGGAGCGGGGGCAGCCUCGGAAGGGUUGAGGAGUCAAGAACUGAAAAUUAGAUGGUUUUUUGGAUUUGAGGAUGUGGAAGAUCCUAUGAUUCCUCAUGCAGAUCUGUCAAUGUUAUUUUUAAAGUUCCUGGCCGGGAUGUCAUUCUGAGAGAACGCCUGUUCGCCUCAGCUGAACAUAGAUAGUUUCCCAUCCUUUCCUCUGGUCUGAGUUUUGAUUUGCUUCGGUGCUGGUUCUGACCUUUUGUCCCGCCUGUGAGAGCAGGGCUCCCAGCUCUUCGCGAUUUCCAUCUCCGGCUCUCUAUUGAGAUCCCUGCUCUGUUCCUGCUAGGUGGAGGUAGUGUCUGGGCUCUCCAAGCAGUCUCUGUUGACAGACCAUGGUGGGAGGGACCCCUCCUUACCGUGGUGGGAGUGGGAGUUCCAGCUCCCCAUUUUCUUAUUAAUAAGGUUUGAGAAAUGUUCAUUCAUCCAUAAUAUCAUUGGCCACCCACCAGGGGAUACACCUUCAGUUGGCAAAUUUAAAAAAGACAUACUCUUUGCUCUCAAGCAGUUAAAAGGGUGUAACAUCAGAAGUGGAAAUGUGCAUUUUUAUAAACAUUUAUAAAUGGUUGAAAUGUGUACUAAAAUUGUAUGCAUGAUUAUACUGCAAAACUACAAAUAUGUUCCUUAAUGUUUAGUUAAAAAUCAGCUGGGAGCUUAUAUCACAAAAGAAUAAAGGUAAAUAAAUAUGAUAGGGUAUAAUUUAA
Molecule: long non-coding RNA, 922 nt
Filed under: Bos indicus x Bos taurus (hybrid cattle)
Lineage: Eukaryota; Metazoa; Chordata; Mammalia; Artiodactyla; Bovidae
Description: lncRNA (ENSBIXG00005030145.1)
Source: RNAcentral